UAACAAGAAAAAUGGAAUGAUAAUUAAUACAGACAGCUACUUGAUUGGAUCAUUUAUACACUGUAAGCCCUCGGUUGCUGUGUGACAUGGACCAUUCCAGCCAGCAGAAUGGGAUAGAGGCACUAACAUAAUAGUCUUUAACCUCAUCUGACACUAAGUAAGUACUUUUUAUCAAGUAAUAAUGCCAAAUUGCAAAUGUCAAGUCAAUAGACGUUACAUUUCUGAAUAUAUAUCUGAUACACUGUAUAAGCAAGCAGGAUAUUAAAUGGAGUAAAAUGUAACCGGGUCUUCUCCGCUCAUCUAAAAUCAGCCUAUUAGACUUAAAUUCCCAGCACAAUGCAAUAUCAGUGUAUUUAUGACCUUAUAAGCGCUGAAUUA
Non-coding RNA from Pelobates cultripes (western spadefoot toad), 378 nucleotides. The record is from the annotation of a GenBank genome assembly. Lineage: Eukaryota; Metazoa; Chordata; Amphibia; Anura; Pelobatidae.